Molecule: ribosomal RNA, 544 nt
Filed under: uncultured fungus
Lineage: Eukaryota; Fungi
Description: eukaryotic LSU rRNA
Rfam family: 5.8S ribosomal RNA (bases 186-339)
Source: RNAcentral
CGUAACAAGGUUUCCGUAGGUGAACCUGCGGAAGGAUCAUUACCUAGAGUUUGUAGACUUCGGUCUGCUACCUCUUACCCAUGUCUUUUGAGUACCUUCGUUUCCUCGGCGGGUCCGCCCGCCGAUUGGACAACAUUCAAACCCUUUGCAGUUGCAAUCAGCGUCUGAAAAAACAUAAUAGUUACAACUUUCAACAACGGAUCUCUUGGUUCUGGCAUCGAUGAAGAACGCAGCGAAAUGCGAUAAGUAGUGUGAAUUGCAGAAUUCAGUGAAUCAUCGAAUCUUUGAACGCACAUUGCGCCCCUUGGUAUUCCAUGGGGCAUGCCUGUUCGAGCGUCAUUUGUACCUUCAAGCUCUGCUUGGUGUUGGGUGUUUGUCUCGCCUCUGCGCGUAGACUCGCCUUAAAACAAUUGGCAGCCGGCGUAUUGAUUUCGGAGCGCAGUACAUCUCGCGCUCUGCACUCAUAACGACGACGUCCAAAAGUACAUUUUUACACUCUUGACCUCGGAUCAGGUAGGGAUACCCGCUGAACUUAAGCAUAUCA